CCAUGAAGCUGGAUUCGCUAGUAAUCGCGCAUCAGCCACGGCGCGGUGAAUACGUUCCCGGGCCUUGUACACACCGCCCGUCAAGCCAUGGAAGCCGGGGGGUGCCUGAAGUGCGCUGCCGCAAGGAGCGUCCCAGGGUAAAACCGGUGACUGGGGCUAAGUCGUAACAAGGUACC
RNAcentral lists this ribosomal RNA (176 nucleotides) under uncultured bacterium. Its description in RNAcentral is "partial 16S ribosomal RNA". It matches the Rfam family "Bacterial small subunit ribosomal RNA", at positions 1318 to 1500 of the family's 1533-position model. The record is from RNAcentral.